This is a long non-coding RNA of Panicum hallii, 593 nucleotides long. RefSeq lists it as uncharacterized. The record is from RefSeq and is a predicted model, not a curated record. NCBI's taxonomy places the organism in Eukaryota, Viridiplantae, Streptophyta, Magnoliopsida, Poales, Poaceae. The transcript is spliced from 2 exons.
GCAACCGCCUGUUCCCACCCCCGUGCCCAUGGUUGCCCUCGCGGACCUAGCAGUCUGGAGUGCGACACUUCUUCCCUGUACGUGUGGAUAUCUUGGAGGUGCUGCAUCUGCUGCACGAGGAUGAGCCGCACGUGAGGAGGUCUCGCAAUUGCACUGCUGGCGACCUACUGCACUACCCCGACGCGCUACAGAAGAUCCGCACCCGCGCGUCCAGUGGUGCACUUCAGGGUGGGCGUGGUUCCCACGAGGCUCUACUGCAUCAAGAUGUUCUGCGGCGGCGUCCACUUCACCGAUGAUCAAGACAGCUCAGAUGCUACCGUCAAUUGCCAUAGUUAAUUUCCUGUCCAUCUGUAAUUCAUUUCGUGUGUAUUCUGGUUGUUGAUGAGUUACCGGUUUGAGAAAUGUGAUGAGCAUUUCAAGGAUUUUAUGUAUUUGUUUUGGACAUGCUGAGAGUGAUGGACUAUGCGAGUAUGUAUAUGUACAUGGUUGAAAUAGCUUUUCCACUCAGAUGUUUCCGAUCCGAGAGUCAACAAAGAAGACUUGUGGCCUCAUUUCGUUUAUGAAAUUCAACAAUACUAAGGUCGGAUUUUUCA